Anarrhichthys ocellatus (wolf-eel) is the source of this 2245-nucleotide RNA transcript. RefSeq lists it as uncharacterized. The record is from RefSeq and is a predicted model, not a curated record. Lineage: Eukaryota; Metazoa; Chordata; Actinopteri; Perciformes; Anarhichadidae. The transcript is spliced from 10 exons.
UUCUAAUUGUAGCUACUGCCCUCUACCGAGUAAUGACCCUCCAAGGAGACAUUAGUGGGUUUAAAUGCGGCUGUGGUGACCUCUGUCUGCCGCAGGGAGAACGGCUCCACUGCUCAGCUCCGGAACUCCCGAAUGGGCGACGUGAGGAGGAUGGUGGCCUAACGGCGAAUACUUUUAUUUUCACAACGUUAUCCUGACAGUGUACGUCGUGUAAUGUUGACAGCCAACCGGACUCAUCAGCAGCUUCACUUUCUUCUGCUUUCAGCGGCUGUCUGCGUCAUCACCACAACGGGCACCCUGACCACCCAGCCGUCUGAUGGAAGGGUGAGGGGAGCCAUGCUGAGGUUCCUCCACAUCCCUUUAACCGGCCUGUUGGGUGUUCUGUGGGAUGGAGUUGCUGCUUUUGGUGGGGUCAGACUAGUGGACGGGGAGAACAAUUGUUCUGGCAGAGUUGAGGUGCUCCGCCAUGGCCGGUGGGGGACUGUGUGCGACCAUAGCUGGGACCUCCGGGAGGCUAAUGUGGUGUGCCUGGAGCUGGGCUGUGGCUUAGCUGAAUCUGCCCUUCAUGGUGCAAUGUUUGGUGCAGGCAGUGGAGAGAUCUGGCUGCGCCAUGUCCAGUGCUCCGGACACGAGGCCAGUUUGACACGCUGUGCUGUCAUUAUUCACAGUAGCACCUACUGCACCCAUGAGAAUGAUGCAGGGGUGAAAUGCUCAGGUACCCUUUUAAUGCCCACCCUCACCCUCCUGUCACCUCACACUGUGCUCUCUCCUGGCGAGGCUGUUCGCUUUGGCUGCAGUGUUUUGUUGGGUCACCACCUCAGUGACUUCCACCUGUACAAGCAUGGAGUGUCUACACCACUGGUUACACAGAGGGCGGACCAGACCCAGACCAAAGUGGAGCUGACACUGUCCGACAUAGAGACUUUCCACCAGGGCAGCUACAGUUGUCUUUACAGGAUCAAGGGCGGCUUCCCCUCUCAGCUGCUGAGCUCCCCACCAAGCAACUCUAUAAACAUCACCGUUGUGGAACUCCUGACUCCCCAACACUGGUACAACACGUCCACCGAAGCCCCGGCUGGUUCCGUCAUUAAAGGCCACAAUUUUAACAUCACCUGCUCCACCCCGCAGCAGUACCCUGGAGGUUCCUUCCAGCUGCGCCUGAUCCGCUCCAACGGCACAGUGCGCCAGUCCCUGCCCGCCCUCAGCCCGUCCGUCACUUUCACCUUUCCCAACGCCCAGAGCUCCAACGAGGGAUACUACUACUGCCUGUAUCGGGUCCAGCUGGGUGGACGCACCUUUGUCUCCAGAGAAAGCCAGCCCCUGCCUAUAGCCAUCAGAGACCCAGAUCCAGUACUGAGUCCAAUGGUGAUCAGCUGGCUUGUGUCCGGCCUGACAUUUGUUGUAGCUGUCAUCGUUUUAAUCAUUGUGGCCAAGGUGCUGUGUAACAACAACAAGAAGAAGCCCACUGAACUGGAGCGAGAGACCAGAACCUGUGUGGAUAACACUUAUGUUGCCUUAUCAAUUAGCAAGCUAUGACGGGGUAUGCAGGCUACCAUAUCACUAAAGUGAAAACUUGCAAGGAGGGGUGAAUGUGUUUUAUAGCAGAAUCACAAGUGAGAGGACGUUCAGGGGGCUCGGACAGCGUCCAUCGUGGAUUCAGUCGGCAGGAGACGUAACGCAGAACCAAACCGCUCGGUCGGUCAUCCAUCCACCUCUGGAAAGAGGCACCCCCUGGACCCAGUUCAGUAGUCUGGAUAAGGCAGUUUUUACUGGACUAACAUUGACCUACAUCACACCAAACUUCAGGCUAGUGGUACUGCUGGGAAAUAAUGGAUGUGAUUGGCUUUAAAGCCUUCUAUUACGAUGAGAUGUGAACUAAAAGCCACAGUAGAUUAUUUCCAGUUCAAUAUCUGUAGGGGUUCCAGCUAGACUUCAGAUUUGGCUACUGCCAUGACACCAGAUGUGUCGAGUGACUAAAAGCUAAACUGGGGAAACUGAUGCAGAUCCCUCAGGUCUGUGUAAAUGCAUUGUAGGACAUUUGUUAUUUAUCACCAAGUAACACAAAAGACGGGCUCCACUAGCUUAUUAUGUACUCGCUUCCACAGAUCAAUGAUCCUUAAAGGAUUAGAAAGUGUUUUUGUAUUUUAAAUCUAACCCAAUGCAUCUUCUGUCAUUUACAAUAUGUAGAUCACUGCACUUGAAGUUAAUAGAAGCUGUAGUUCAUUAAAACGUGCUGUUGUUGGAG